Molecule: non-coding RNA, 1425 nt
Organism: Nicotiana tabacum (common tobacco)
Lineage: Eukaryota; Viridiplantae; Streptophyta; Magnoliopsida; Solanales; Solanaceae
Source: RefSeq, a predicted model, not a curated record
GAAAAAACAACAAAAAUUCUCCCUUGUACAUAUGAUUUGCAGCAACUGAUUGCAAUCAAAGGACUUUUUGGACUUCUUUUUUUCGACAUCCAUUUAAACAAAACACUAACUAACAAACGAACUAUUGAUUAAAAUGAGUUAAAAAUGAAUUUGAUGUAUUUUGAGCAAUUUGUGUACGAAUUGUUGUGUAAUGGAGAGUUGCGUGACUCGUUUGGUUUUGUCUACGUUCGCAGCUUUUGUUUAUCCCGUCGUGCUUGCCGUUCACCGUGCCGUUAUGCUUGCCGUUUACCGUCCGUUUGCCGUGAAUUGCGUUCGUCGUCAUCUUUGCGUUGUGUUUCUUCCGAGGUUUGGCUUGAUUGAUUCAAGUCGUGGAGUUGAAGUUUGAUUAUGGACUUGGACUUGGUGUUUAUUUAUACCUUCCAUUAAAGGUGCACUAUUUCCUUUACGUUGUUUUCGGAGCGAGGGACGGUGUUUGCUGGACAUUUUAGGAUCUUGAAAUGGACUAUUUUUCAAAUGGACAAUAAAAAGAUCUUAAGAUAAAUACGAAAAUUAUAAAAGUAAUUAAAGGAAUAGAAUAUUAUACUAGAAAUUAAGUUGGGGAAUACGAAGUUUUAUGAAAGCAAACACUAGAAGAUGGGAGACAGGCUGGCUAUGCAUUGGAGUGUGUGGCCCAUAUUGGACACAACUGGUUCUUACAAUGCACUUUUCUAAAACUGGUGUGAGGAAUAAUAAAUGGGAAAGGGAAAAUGAUUGAGCGGCCAGAAAAAGAAAUGAUUGAGCGUGAGGUGGAAAAGUUUUAGAAGAAUCAGAAGAUUAUGAAAAUUUACACAAAAAGGUUGCACAAGAUGUUUGCAAAUUUUUUUGCUUUUAUAGUCUACACUCUGCACAGAAAUUGAUACCCCCUUUCAUACAAAGGUUCAGUAAGAUCUUGUUGAGCUACCCUAGUUGAAAUAUCCGUUUCACAAUGAAUGUAUAUAUUUUAGGGUGAAAUAAAAAAUUUAAAGUGUUUUUGUAAAUUUAAAAAGUUAUUUCUUAAAAAUUGAACUUCUUUUUUAAACGAAGGGAGUAGUAAACUUGAACUAGCCUUUUGCUGUGCAUUUUUGCACGACUAAUUAAUUCGAUCUUUCUGAGAAGCUAAACAUAAUAUGAGAAGCUAAACAUAAUAUUGUGCAUAGUUUGGUCGUGAAACAAUCUCAUCUCUUCAUUGUACAUUAAUUUAUCUCUAAAUAAAAAUUUAUCUUACAUUAGACACAAUUUGAUAGCAGUAAAUUUGUUACAGAUUAGAUCAUAUGUUAAAAACCGGUGUAUUACUCCAGUAAAUAGUAACCAUGAAUAGAUAGGGGGCGUUACAUAUUUCCAAUUUUAACAAUACCACUCUUUGUAACACGAAAAUUCCUAUUUCUCUAUGUUUUAAGCAUUUGUCUA